GAUGAACGCUGGCGGCAGGCCUAAUACAUGCAAGUCGAGCGGCAGCACGAGAAGAUCGCUCCCUUACCGGUGGCGGGGGACGGGUGAGUGACACAUGGAUAACAUACCACUAAGACUGGGGGGACUACGGGGGAAAGCUGCCAAUACCACAGAAUACAUUCUACCGCUGGAUGCAUUAGUGAUUCACACUUUGCCUGUUUCUUAUAGACGAUGUCGCGUCGCAUUAGCUAGUUGGUAAGGUAACGGCUCACCAAGGCAACGAUGCGGAGCCGAUCUGAGAGGAUGAUCAGCCACACUGGAACUGAGACACGGUCCAGACUCCUACGGGAGGCAGCAGUGGGGAAUCUUGCACAAUGGGCGAAAGCCUGAUCGAGCCACGCCGCGUGGGUGAAGAAGGUCUUCGGAUCGUAAAGCUCUUUUAUUGGGAAAGAACAAAAGUGUAUGAAACUCUGCCCGUCUUGACGGUACCUAAUGAAUAAGCACCGGCUAACUUCGUG
This 497-nucleotide ribosomal RNA is filed under the name uncultured bacterium. RNAcentral's name for it is "partial 16S ribosomal RNA". It matches the Rfam family "Bacterial small subunit ribosomal RNA", at positions 28 to 507 of the family's 1533-position model. The record is from RNAcentral.